This 762-nucleotide long non-coding RNA is filed under the name Anas platyrhynchos platyrhynchos (common mallard). RNAcentral's name for it is "lncRNA (ENSAPLG00000025255.1)". Lineage: Eukaryota; Metazoa; Chordata; Aves; Anseriformes; Anatidae. The record is from RNAcentral.
GCUAUUUUCAAAACAAAAUCCACCCUUUUGUUUAGUGCAGGCUGUCUCUAAAACCUAAAAACAGGAAAUACAUUGCUUUUACUGUAGGCUAGAAGAAAACCUAUUUCCCUGGCUGAAAAUUAAGGGUUUGCUUUUUUUUUGUUUGCUUUGCAAGUGUCUUAAUGGCAUGGCUGCGUUGUAUGUUUUCUCUCAGGACACUGUUCAGGCUAGAAUAGUUUCCAGUCUCCCUUUCUCCUAAAUGGAAUAAGGGAGAGGAAGAAAUAGAGAACUCAAAGGAUUCAAACCCAGAAACUGUGCCCUCUCGCCCUUCAAAAAGAGACUGUAGAAAACACACAGCUCUCCCUUGAAGGCUGGAGGAACAGCUGAUGUGCUACUCUUAUCAGUUAUUCCUAACAGCUGAGAAAUCUGAUCAAGCUGGUCAAUAAUUGAGCACAGGGGCACAGCCUGCCUGUGUGCUGCAUAAAAGUGGAUUUCCUGGGGGCAGCAGCUGGAGUGGCCAGGUGGGCAGGAAGGAAGGAGAUGUUUGCUGUCUGCUGCAAAAGGUUUGUUGGCCUUGGAAUAGCCACGCAGUCAGGGCUGGAGGGUCUACUGUACCUGUUCUUGCUUCAGUUUCAGAUAUGCUGUGCUGCUGUUCUGGUUUCUUCAGGGGAACGGAGAAAUAACAUUGUUUGUUCAGACUUGGUGAGAGAGAUGGGAAUACAUUGUACGUUGGUGGAAGAAGACAUAUGCCACGCCAACAAAGGAGGUCCUGGACUUCAAUGA